GCGGCCAUGGCGGAAUUGGUAGACGCGUCGGCCUCAGAAACCGAUGAGCAAUCAUGGAAGUUCAAGUCUUCUUGGCCGCACCA
RNAcentral lists this transfer RNA (83 nucleotides) under Bacilli bacterium. RNAcentral's name for it is "tRNA-Leu". It matches the Rfam family "tRNA". Rfam says of the family: Transfer RNA (tRNA) molecules are approximately 80 nucleotides in length. Their secondary structure includes four short double-helical elements and three loops (D, anti-codon, and T loops). Lineage: Bacteria; Bacillati; Bacillota; Bacilli. The record is from RNAcentral.